GACGAACGCUGGCGGCGUGCUUAACACAUGCAAGUCGAACGGUAAGGCCCUUCGGGGUACACGAGUGGCGAACGGGUGAGCAACACGUGGGUGAUCUGCCCUGCACUUCGGGAUAAGCCUGGGAAACUGGGUCUAAUACCGGAUAGGACUCCUGGCUUCAUGGUUGGGGGUGGAAAGCUUUUGCGGUGUGGGAUGGGCCCGCGGCCUAUCAGCUUGUUGGUGGGGUAAUGGCCUACCAAGGCGACGACGGGUAGCCGGCUUGAGAGGGUGACCGGUCACACUGGGACUGAGAUACGGCCCAGACUCCUACGGGAGGCAGCAGUGGGGAAUAUUGCACAAUGGGCGCAAGCCUGAUGCAGCGACGCCGCGUGAGGGAUGACGGCCUUCGGGUUGUAAACCUCUUUCAGCUAUGACGAAGCGCAAGUGACGGUAGUAGCAGAAGAAGGACCGGCCAACUACGUGCCAGCAGCCGCGGUAA
This 478-nucleotide ribosomal RNA is filed under the name uncultured bacterium. RNAcentral's name for it is "partial 16S ribosomal RNA". It matches the Rfam family "Bacterial small subunit ribosomal RNA", at positions 28 to 523 of the family's 1533-position model. The record is from RNAcentral.